GAGGCAGCAGUGGGGAAUAUUGCACAAUGGGCGGAAGCCUGAUGCAGCGACGCCGCGUGAGGGAUGACGGCCUUCGGGUUGUAAACCUCUUUCAGUAGGGAAGAAGCGUAAGUGACGGUACCUGCAGAAGAAGCGCCGGCUAACUACGUGCCAGCAGCCGCGGUAAUACGUAGGGCGCAAGCGUUAUCCGGAAUUAUUGGGCGUAAAGAGCUCGUCGGCGGUUUGUCGCGUUUGCUGUGAAAGACCGGGGCUCAACUCCGGUUUUGCAGUGGGUACGGGCAGACUAGAGUGAUGUAGGGGAGACUGGAAUUCCUGGUGUAGCGGUGAAAUGCGCAGAUAUCAGGAGGAACACCGAUGGCGAAGGCAGGUCUCUGGGCAUUAACUGACGCUGAGGAGCGAAAGCAUGGGGAGCGAACAGGAUUAGAUACCCUGGUAGUCCAUGCCGUAAACGUUGGGCACUAGGUGUGGGGGACAUUCCACGUUUUCCGCGCCGUAGCUAACGCAUUAAGUGCCCCGCCUGGGGAGUACGGCCGCAAGGCUAAAACUCAAAGGAAUUGACGGGGGCCCGCACAAGCGGCGGAGCAUGCGGAUUAAUUCGAUGCAACGCGAAGAACCUUACCAAGGCUUGACAUGAACCGGUAACGCCUGGAAACAGGUGCCCCGCUUGCGGUCGGUUUACAGGUGGU
RNAcentral lists this ribosomal RNA (686 nucleotides) under Arthrobacter sp. RNAcentral describes it as "bacterial SSU rRNA". It matches the Rfam family "Bacterial small subunit ribosomal RNA", at positions 345 to 1042 of the family's 1533-position model. The record is from RNAcentral. Lineage: Bacteria; Bacillati; Actinomycetota; Actinomycetes; Micrococcales; Micrococcaceae.